This 533-nucleotide ribosomal RNA is filed under the name uncultured Acidobacteriota bacterium. RNAcentral's name for it is "bacterial SSU rRNA". It matches the Rfam family "Bacterial small subunit ribosomal RNA", at positions 13 to 529 of the family's 1533-position model. The record is from RNAcentral. Lineage: Bacteria; Pseudomonadati; Acidobacteriota.
UUGAUCCUGGCUCAGAAUCAACGCUGGCGGCGUGCCUAACACAUGCAAGUCGAACGCGAAAGUGGAGCAAUCCAUGAGUAGAGUGGCAAACGGGUGAGUUACGCGUGGGCGACCUGCCUUCGAGUGGGGGAUAACAUUCCGAAAGGGAUUCUAAUACCGCAUAACAUCCUUCGUUUAGAUACGAGGUGAUCAAAGCCGGUAGCAAUUCUGGCGCUUAAAGAGGGGCCCGCGUCCGAUUAGCUAGUUGGUUGGGUAACGGCCUACCAAGGCUCCGAUCGGUAUCCGGCCUGAGAGGGCGGUCGGACACACUGGAACUGAGACACGGUCCAGACUCCUACGGGAGGCAGCAUUGGGGAAUUGUUCGCAAUGGGCGCAAGCCUGACGACGCAACGCCGCGUGUAGGAUGAAGACCUUCGGGUCGUAAACUCCUUUCGACCGAGAAGAAUGGCUCACGACCUCAUACGUCGUGAGCAUGACGGUAUCGAGGGAAGAAGCCCCGUCUAACUCUGUGCCAGCAGCCGCGGUAAUAAGGU